UUCAACGGCCGCGGUAUUUUAACCGUGCAAAGGUAGCGCAAUCACUUGUCUUUUAAAUGAAGACCUGUAUGAAUGGCACAACGAGGGCUAAGCUGUCUCCUUUUUCCAGUCAAUGAAAUUGAUCUGCCCGUGCAGAAGCGGGCAUAAACCCACAAGACGAGAAGACCCUAUGGAGCUUAAGACCCGAGCAGACUACGUAAACACCCCGGCCCAAAGGGUCAAACCAAAUAGCACCUGCUCCCUGUCUUUGGUUGGGGCGACCGCGGAGCAACAAAAAACCCCCAUGUAGAAUGGGACCCCCCCUACACCACGAGCCCCUGCUCUAGUAAACAGAACUUCUGACUAAAAUGAUCCGGCAUGCCGAUCAACGGACCGAGUUACCCUAGGGAUAACAGCGCAAUCCCCUUCUAGAGCCCAUAUCGACAAGGGGGUUUACGACCUCGAUGUUGGAUCAGGACAUCCUAGUGGUGCAGCCGCUAUUAAGGGUUCGUUUGUUCAACGAUUAAAGUCCU
Molecule: ribosomal RNA, 512 nt
Filed under: Typhleotris pauliani
Lineage: Eukaryota; Metazoa; Chordata; Actinopteri; Gobiiformes; Eleotridae
Description: partial large subunit ribosomal RNA
Rfam family: Bacterial large subunit ribosomal RNA
Source: RNAcentral